Molecule: non-coding RNA, 182 nt
Filed under: Opitutaceae bacterium
Lineage: Bacteria; Pseudomonadati; Verrucomicrobiota; Opitutia; Opitutales; Opitutaceae
Description: 6S RNA
Rfam family: 6S / SsrS RNA
About the family: E. coli 6S RNA was the first non coding RNA to be sequenced, but its function was unknown until recently. It consists of 184 nucleotides that fold into an extended hairpin structure with a large single-stranded internal bulge.
Source: RNAcentral
GACACCCUGCAGUGUUCGAGGUGCUUUCAUUAAUACGCUCUUCGCCUUUGAAUCAUAACGGGAGCCGCGAAAAGGUGGUGGCUGCUAGGCCGUAAAUCGGACAGCAAAAGCCGCUUCUAGGGCGCCCACUUAAAUAUAAAAAGGUCCUGAGCCUUUGGGCAUACGGCACAGGCGGGGUGUCA